Molecule: ribosomal RNA, 334 nt
Filed under: uncultured Pseudomonadota bacterium
Lineage: Bacteria; Pseudomonadati; Pseudomonadota
Description: bacterial SSU rRNA
Rfam family: Bacterial small subunit ribosomal RNA
Source: RNAcentral
GAGGAACGCGUAGGUAAUCCACCCUCUGGCGGGGGACAACACUCCGAAAGGAAUGCUAAUACCGCGUAAGACCACGCUCACUUCGGUGAAAGCGGUUAAAGGUGCCUCAAAGCACCACCAGAGGACGAGCCUGCGUCCCAUCAGCUUGUUGGUAAGGUAAUGGCUUACCAAGGCGAAGACGGGUAGCUGGUCUGAGAGGAUGAUCAGCCACACUGGCACUGGAACACGGGCCAGACUCCUACGGGAGGCAGCAGUGAGGAAUAUUGGGCAAUGGGCGAAAGCCUGACCCAGCCACGCCGCGUGUGUGAUGAAGGCCUUCGGGUCGUAAAGCACU